Molecule: RNA transcript, 2444 nt
Organism: Coffea arabica (coffee)
Lineage: Eukaryota; Viridiplantae; Streptophyta; Magnoliopsida; Gentianales; Rubiaceae
Gene name: zinc finger BED domain-containing protein RICESLEEPER 4-like
Source: RefSeq, a predicted model, not a curated record
UUACUUUCCCCAAUUCCAUUUCUUAUUACUUCUCUACCACAUCUCUGUUUGGUCUUUCCUUCUUUCUUUCACACCUUCUCAAGCCCUAGCCAUCGCCGCCACCACCUACGAGUGCACCGCGCUGACCACAGCCACCACCGCGACACCGCCACUGCUACCGUUCAGGCCUCAUUCGACUGCAAUUCGACUUCAUUCGAGAGAAACCUUCUUCCUCUCGAAGCAAUUCGACUGCAACUCGCCUUCGUCGUUGGCUCAGCUGUAUUCGGACAGAGGCUUGACUUCCCUCACGGUGCGUCUUAAGGACUGCUAACCAUCUGUCUUCCUCCACGGCGCAUCUUAAAGCCCUCAAUUUGAUUUCCAAUUUAAGGUUGGUUCGGGCCGUUGGGUAUUCCUUCCCCAAUUUAAGGUUCGCGCAGCUUUUAGGAUUUUUGACCCAAACUCCGUUUACUCUUUCCAGUGAUUUUUUGCUGUCCUUUGGAAUACAAUAGUACAAAGUGCAAAUUUUUGUCCUGAUUCCCUUGUUGCAUUUCCGAUAAUUGUAAACUGCUCUCCGUCUUUUUUUAUUUUGGACGUAUCCAUGCACGGAUUUGAAAGAGGAUCCAGAACAAAUACUGAAAUGAAAAAAAAAAUGAAAUUUUCUGGCUUGAAUUUGUAAUGAUUGAGACCAAUUAGGGCAUAAAAUGGUUUAGACGCACCCCAGAUUCCAAUUUUCCAUUCAUGUCAUGCAUUUUUACCUUAACCAUCAGUUCUUUCAUUUCUGAAAUUGUAUGAAUCAUGCAUGCAGAUGUUAGGAAAGUUAACCAAGUGAUGUCAAAGAAGGCUGCAAUAUACGGCAAUUAUGAAAAUAGAAGUCGUUGUUGUGAUUCUAAAAGUUACAGACCGCUCUCCACUACUUUUUUUUUUUUUUAAUAUUAUCAUUUUCCUAUCUCCACUGCUGAUUUGUAAAUACUAGUGCAAUUUUUAAAAAAAAAAUUUUUUUUAAUCGAUGUUACUAACGUUGGAGGGAGUGUUAUAUACAUUAUCUAGCUACAAUAUGAAUCUGAUAUGACUUGAUCGAGCCCAUAAUUUUUUUUUCUCUCUCUCAAAAACUCUGAUUCCAAUAUGUCUUUUCUAGUUGCGCAUCUAUUUUUAGAUUAUGAAAAAUAACAUGCAUCUCAUUUUUAAUAUUCCCACGUCUAUCCCAUUAAAUAUUUCUAUAGGCAAAGUCUAUAGUUUAUAACUGCUGGUAUAUGGGGGCUAUAAUUCCAUAGCUCAAUGAAAGUGUAAUUUAGUAUAUGAUACGUAGAUUUGGUUUUUAUAUGUUUACUCUGAUGGUGGCCUCUUUUUGUGUAAAUCAUACCACAUUUUUUAUUCUUGCAUGUUUCUGAUCUCAUGUGCUCUACACUUAGCCUCCUCAUCUCUUUUGAGGCUCAAUGUCUACUGUCUAGUCACCUGCUAGAGAGAACUUGGGUAAUAUUCUGCGGCGCUUAACUUUUAUUUGUAUAGCCGGUUUGAGCAGAAAAGUGAGACCACAUUUGCUUGAUUCAAUAGUACAGAUUAAGGCUUUGGCAUGUAUAUAAUGUAUGCAAUAUUUUUCACUUGAGCUCACAAUGUAUCUGAUUUAUAUGCCGAGUAUGUGGAGAUGCAUGUUUCAAGUUCAAGAGAUUCUGGAGGAAGCUCUCAAGUAGUGGCAAAUGAACCAGGUAGCAAGAGUAGCAAUAGUUCAUCCUCUACAAUGACACAUGUUACUGGAAUGUGUGAAUUUCUAUCUCACAUUGCUACUGUGGAACCCGUUCAACCGGAGAAAAAUGAGCUAGAUAUCUACUUUGAAGAUGGCCUUCUCAGUGCUAUGGAGAAGUCUAGCUUGGAUAUUGUCAACUUAGAUGCUUUGAAAUGGUGGAAAAGCACAACAAAAUACAAGAUUUUGCCUAAGAUGGCUGCGGAUAUUUUAGCCAUUCCUGUUAGCACCGUAGCUUCGGAAGCGACAUUUAGUGCUGGAACUAGAGUGCUUGACUCCUACCGUGCUUCUUUAGCUCCAGAAACUGUAGAGAUGUUGAUGUGUGUUGGGGAUUGGUGUCGUAGGCUACACGGAGUGAAGAAAAGGGAUAAGAAAAUGAAGUCAGCGCAAGAGAUUUCAUUGCCUAUUCCUUGAACUUUUUCAUGUUUUAGCUGUGCAACAGUUGCAGCUUAUUGGUGCAUUAUUGGCUGUAGGUUGGAGCUGGGACUAUGAAUCCUCUGACAUUUCUAAGAAGAGAAGAAGUUCGUGACUUCAAUGACUGUGCUUAGUUUGUAAUUUGUAAUUCAAUAAGUUUCUAAAUUUAUGAUUGUAUUUAGUGAAAAAUUUGUAGGCCUUUUUUUAUUAUGAUAAUGUGAAAAAUUAUGGUCAAUUAUAGGCAUGAAUUGUAAGCUAUGAUUAUGCUCAUAAUUUGGUUAGGAAUUAGUUAAUAAAAUGAUUUUUUUUGUUA